Long non-coding RNA from Myotis lucifugus (little brown bat), 824 nucleotides. RefSeq lists it as uncharacterized. The transcript has 3 exons. The record is from RefSeq and is a predicted model, not a curated record. NCBI's taxonomy places the organism in Eukaryota, Metazoa, Chordata, Mammalia, Chiroptera, Vespertilionidae.
UCAUCUGAGGACUUGGCAUCGUCUUCUAAGGAAAGGCAGUGGUGCAUGUCCUGAGCCCAGACAUUAGGGUACCUAUCCAGAAACGAUCUCCUAACCUCUCCAGCCAAAACUUGUUUGAAGACAGAAUUGAAAAGUGCUUCAUGCUGAAAUUUCAUGCUUGACUGUGCCCUGAGAUAUGAAGCAUGACAAGGACUAGCACCCAAGAACUUGUCAGAAUAAAAACGUUUUGACAGUGGUCCUCCAGGGGGUUGUCCCUCUCUCGCAAGCCAUCAACAGUGAAGAUGCUCCUGAGAUGGAGAUGGCAACUUUCCAGGCAUAGCCAAUGUUUGCAGAAUCUGUACUUCUUCACUUAGCAGGUUCAGAUAAAGGGUAGGCAUGGAUGAACAUGGAAGAAUACACCUUUUAAUUCUUCACCGCAUCAGGCUUUCAUUCUUCUCUCAUUAUUGUGACGGUCUUAUCUAGACUCCCUGUGUCUUCUCUCCAAUUUUCAAUUUCUUUCAUAUAUUGCUAAGAAUUUUUCUGUAUCAUUAAUCUGGUCAUAUUGCCUCACUCAAUCACAACUGACUCUAUGGUCUACCGAAUAAAUUCUCAAGUCCUUGACAUUUCAUUGAAAGAACGUCACAGUGUGGCCUGGAUUUAUCCUCCCAGACACAUUUCUAGCCACCUCUGUGACCCCCCAAAUCUACGAAUCCAUCAUAUCAUGAAGUUCUGUGUAAGAACCGCUCUGGGUAAGCUAUGCAUUCUUUGAAGUAUUAAAUUGUGUUUUUCUUUGGAUGUGUACAUUUUGCCCAAAUCGUCAAUUUGUUGACAUAAUGUCAUUUAUA